GCGUCGGUCAUAUAGUGGUUAUUACCCCGGCCUUCCAAGCCGGAGACCUGGGUUCGAAUACUUUCGGUCUUGUUCCAAGGAAUAAGACGAAGUCGACUCUCCCAGCCGACGCA
RNAcentral lists this transfer RNA (113 nucleotides) under Candidatus Woesearchaeota archaeon. RNAcentral describes it as "tRNA-Gly". The record is from RNAcentral. Lineage: Archaea; Nanobdellati; Candidatus Woesearchaeota.